AACGAACGCUGGCGGCAUGCCUAACACAUGCAAGUCGAACGAGACCUUCCGGUCUUUUGGCGCACGGGUGCUUAACGCGUGGUAACCUGCCCUUAGGUUCGGAAUAACUCCCCGUAAGGGGUGCUAAUACCGGAUAAUGUCUUCGCACCAAAGAUUUAUCGCCUUUGGAUGGGCCCGCGUUGGAUUAGCUAGUUGGUAGGGUAAAAGCCUACCAAGGCGACGAUCCAUAGCUGGUCUGAGAGGAUGAUCAGCCACACUGGGACUGAGACACGGCCCAGACUCCUACGGGACGGAGCAGUGGGGAAUAUUGGACACUGGGCGAAAGCCUGAUCCAGCAAUGCCGGGUGAGUGAGGAAGGCGUUAGGGUUGUAAAGCUGUUUUCACCGGGAUGAUAAUGACAGUACCGGGAGAAUAAGCACCGGCUAACUCCGUG
RNAcentral lists this ribosomal RNA (433 nucleotides) under uncultured bacterium. Its description in RNAcentral is "partial 16S ribosomal RNA". It matches the Rfam family "Bacterial small subunit ribosomal RNA", at positions 29 to 507 of the family's 1533-position model. The record is from RNAcentral.